RNAcentral lists this ribosomal RNA (359 nucleotides) under Alkalinema pantanalense K106. Its description in RNAcentral is "bacterial SSU rRNA". It matches the Rfam family "Bacterial small subunit ribosomal RNA", at positions 417 to 792 of the family's 1533-position model. The record is from RNAcentral. Lineage: Bacteria; Bacillati; Cyanobacteriota; Cyanophyceae; Leptolyngbyales; Leptolyngbyaceae.
UUUGGGUUGUAAACCUCUUUUCUCAGGGAAGAAGAUCUGACGACCUGAGGAAUCAGCAUCGGCUAACUUCGUGCCAGCAGCCGCGGUAAUACGAGGGAUGCAAGCGUUAUCCGGAAUUAUUGGGCGUAAAGCGUCCGCAGGUGGUUAUACAAGUCUGCCGUCAAAGCGUGGAGCUUAACUCCAUACCGGCGGUGGAAACUGUAUGACUAGAGGUCAGUAGGGGUCACGGGAAUUCCCAGUGUAGCGGUGAAAUGCGUAGAUAUUGGGAAGAACACCAGCGGCGAAAGCGCGUGACUGGGCUGAUUCUGACACUCAUGGACGAAAGCUAGGGGAGCGAAUGGGAUUAGAUACCCCCAGUA